Musa acuminata AAA Group (dessert banana) is the source of this 468-nucleotide long non-coding RNA. RefSeq lists it as uncharacterized. The transcript has 2 exons. Lineage: Eukaryota; Viridiplantae; Streptophyta; Magnoliopsida; Zingiberales; Musaceae. The record is from RefSeq and is a predicted model, not a curated record.
AUGGCUUUGGAGAGACACCAAAGCCAAGGAGUUGAGAGUCCAUCAGAACUAGCUUGUGACAGGGAUGUCUCUUGGAAGGACUCAGGAUCAUCAUCCAUGAGUGCCAUCACGUUUGGAUUAGCUGCCACUGCAGUACUAGUAUCUAUGUUUCUUGUCAUGGCAAUCUUUGAACAUCUAAUCAUACCAAGGGUGUCCUUCUUUCGGUCGCGGAGCAAUGCACGAGGAUCCUCGGAAACCGGCCAGCUGCCUGUGCAGACUCACCUGCAGGAGAAGAUUCAGGAUUCAGUAGCAGUUGGAGCUCAGCACACAUCUGAUCUGUCUGUGCUAAUGCCGGGACAAGAUUAUCCUACCUUCAUUGCUCAACCUGCUCCUCUUCCUUGCCAAAGAGAGGGCAUGCACUGGCCUUCACAUGGUCCUCAUGUAUCCUACAAGUAAAUGAUGUCAUCUGGUGCAAUUCCAUUGGAGAGA